Molecule: ribosomal RNA, 238 nt
Filed under: uncultured bacterium
Lineage: Bacteria
Description: partial 16S ribosomal RNA
Rfam family: Bacterial small subunit ribosomal RNA
Source: RNAcentral
UCCAGCCUACGGGGCGCAGCAGUAGGGAAUCUUCCACAAUGGACGAAAGUCUGAUGGAGCAACGCCGCGUGAGUGAAGAAGGGUUUCGGCUCGUAAAGCUCUGUUGGUAGUGAAGAAAGAUAGAGGUAGUAAAUGGCCCUUAUUUGAAGGUAAUUACUUAGAAAGCCACGGCUAACUACGUGCCAGCAUCCGCGGUAAUACGUCGGUGGCAAGCGUUCUCCGGAUUUAUUGGGCGUCA